UAUCUCUGUAGAGUCUGCAUAUCAAUAAGCGGAGGAAAAGAAACUAACUAGGAUUCCCUUAGUAACGGCGAGUGAAGCGGGAAGAGCUCAAAUUUGAAAUCUUCAAGGUUCUACCUUGACGAAUUGUAGUUUAAAGAAGUGUUUUCUGUUAGAUGAGUAGCAAAAGUUCCUUGGAAUGGGACAUCAUAGAGGGUGAGAAUCCCGUAUUUGGUUAUUCAUUCUAGCUUUGUGAUACACUUUCAAAGAGUCGGAUUGUUUGGGAAUGCAGUCCAAAAUGGGUGGUAAAUUUCAUCUAAAGCUAAAUAUUGGCGAGAGACCGAUAGCGAACAAGUACCGUGAGGGAAAGAUGAAAAGAACUUUGAAAAGAGAGUUAAACAGUACGUGAAAUUGUCAAAAGGGAAGCGUUUGACACCAGUGUUGUUUUUCCGAAAAUCAAUUACGAAUGGCUUGAUUCUGUGUUGUAUUGACCUUAUCAGCUUUCUUCACUUUUUUCGAGUCUUUCUUAAUGCACUUUUCGGUUAACAAGUCAACAUCAAUUUCUUUUGUUGUAAAAGAGUAUUCGGAAGGUGGCUUUCUUUUCGGAGAAAGUGUUUAUAGCCCUAUACUUCUACAAUCGGAGAGAUUGAGGUCUGCAGCGUAGAUCCUUCGGGGUUAGAUACACUUUGUGCUAAGUUGUAGCUUUUCAUAGACAACUUGUCGACUAUGUUUAGUCAUGCGGCUUACUCGCUCUGUGCUAUUUUACCUACGCUUAGGAUGUUGACGAGACUGUCGAUCUC
RNAcentral lists this ribosomal RNA (776 nucleotides) under uncultured Neocallimastigales. RNAcentral describes it as "partial large subunit ribosomal RNA". It matches the Rfam family "Eukaryotic large subunit ribosomal RNA", at positions 24 to 647 of the family's 3401-position model. Lineage: Eukaryota; Fungi; Neocallimastigomycota; Neocallimastigomycetes; Neocallimastigales. The record is from RNAcentral.